GAUCCUGGCUCAGGAUGAACGCUAGCGGCAGGCCUAACACAUGCAAGUCGAGGGGCAGCACGGUGUAGCAAUACACUGGUGGCGACCGGCGCACGGGUGCGUAACGCGUAUGCAACCUACCCAUAACAGGGGGAUAACACUGAGAAAUUGGUACUAAUACCCCAUAAUAUCAUAGAAGGCAUCUUUUAUGGUUGAAAAUUCCGAUGGUUAGAGAUGGGCAUGCGUUGUAUUAG
This 233-nucleotide ribosomal RNA is filed under the name uncultured bacterium. RNAcentral describes it as "partial 16S ribosomal RNA". It matches the Rfam family "Bacterial small subunit ribosomal RNA", at positions 15 to 244 of the family's 1533-position model. The record is from RNAcentral.